Molecule: ribosomal RNA, 706 nt
Filed under: Trichoderma koningiopsis
Lineage: Eukaryota; Fungi; Ascomycota; Sordariomycetes; Hypocreales; Hypocreaceae
Description: SSU rRNA
Rfam family: Eukaryotic small subunit ribosomal RNA
Source: RNAcentral
AAUUUAAAUCCCUUAACGAGGAACAAUUGGAGGGCAAGUCUGGUGCCAGCAGCCGCGGUAAUUCCAGCUCCAAUAGCGUAUAUUAAAGUUGUUGUGGUUAAAAAGCUCGUAGUUGAACCUUGGGCCUGGCUGGCCGGUCCGCCUCACCGCGUGCACUGGUCCGGCCGGGCCUUUCCCUCUGCGGAACCCCAUGCCCUUCACUGGGUGUGGCGGGGAAACAGGACUUUUACUUUGAAAAAAUUAGAGUGCUCAAGGCAGGCCUAUGCUCGAAUACAUUAGCAUGGAAUAAUAGAAUAGGACGUGUGGUUCUAUUUUGUUGGUUUCUAGGACCGCCGUAAUGAUUAAUAGGGACAGUCGGGGGCAUCAGUAUUCAAUUGUCAGAGGUGAAAUUCUUGGAUUUAUUGAAGACUAACUACUGCGAAAGCAUUUGCCAAGGAUGUUUUCAUUAAUCAGGAACGAAAGUUAGGGGAUCGAAGACGAUCAGAUACCGUCGUAGUCUUAACCAUAAACUAUGCCGACUAGGGAUCGGACGAUGUUACAUUUUUGACGCGUUCGGCACCUUACGAGAAAUCAAAGUGCUUGGGCUCCAGGGGGAGUAUGGUCGCAAGGCUGAAACUUAAAGAAAUUGACGGAAGGGCACCACCAGGGGUGGAGCCUGCGGCUUAAUUUGACUCAACACGGGGAAACUCACCAGGUCCAGACACAA